This 503-nucleotide unclassified non-coding RNA is filed under the name Hevea brasiliensis (rubber tree). The record is from RNAcentral. Lineage: Eukaryota; Viridiplantae; Streptophyta; Magnoliopsida; Malpighiales; Euphorbiaceae.
AGUGAACCCCUGUAUUUUGUUGGGGCAACCUCUGAGAUAUAAAUUGGAACCAGAACUGUGUUCACACCAAUCCCAAGGCCAACAAGAAAUCUCCCCCACAGUAUUUCAUCCAAGGAAUGGGCUUGUGCACUUACAAGUGCACCAAGAAUUAAUGGAAUUGAGUCAAACUGAAAGGUGCGGCGACAUCCAAGUUUAUCCACAAGAAAACCAGAGUUUAUGCUUCCAAUAAAUGCCCCAGUAAUAAAUAUGCUGACCACAAGUCCCUCAAGAAUUGGGUCUCCUUCAAAACCAAGCUCUCGUGCAACAGAAACAAUAGGGCCAUUCAUCACUCCUAUGUGAUAACCAAAGAGGAAAUUCGACAUAGAAGCAAUCAAAGCGUGAGGAAAGGCAGGCAACCAUCCGAAAUCAGCACUUUCACCUUCCUUUUCUUCUACAAACGAUUUUUCAACACCAUCUGGCUUGGGAUUCUGUAGCUCCGGCGGUGGCUUCUUCGAUGCCCAAAC